CCAAGAAGUUGAUUGAGAUCACCAAGGACACUUGUACCAAGGGGAUGUUGAAAUAUCAAGUUCUUGAAGUCGCAAGAGAAAGAGAGCAGAGGUACAGCUGGAAUCCCUUCACCUAUGCAUAUUUUGAUGUGACAACUUCCUGAAUGGUUCUUGCUGCCUCAUCACACAAGUCCUGCCAACUCUUUCUCAGCAGUGAUUGCUACAUUCAUCAUCAGAUAAUGACCUGCUCUAGAGAAUAGAAUAAGACCACCACAUCCAAAAGAUGGGUAAGUAAAAGUCUCCACAGGAAAAUCUUCUAAAAUAUAUACAAGGGUAGGGGUGAAGAGCUGUUUGGCCUGGUGGCUAAGAUGCUGCUUGGAAUGCCUGUGUCUGUAUCAGAGUGCCUGCAUUUGAUGCCCAGCUCACUACUAAUGUGU
RNAcentral lists this long non-coding RNA (416 nucleotides) under Oryctolagus cuniculus (rabbit). RNAcentral describes it as "lncRNA (ENSOCUG00000035916.1)". Lineage: Eukaryota; Metazoa; Chordata; Mammalia; Lagomorpha; Leporidae. The record is from RNAcentral.